Molecule: long non-coding RNA, 438 nt
Organism: Populus nigra (black poplar)
Lineage: Eukaryota; Viridiplantae; Streptophyta; Magnoliopsida; Malpighiales; Salicaceae
Exons: 2
Source: RefSeq, a predicted model, not a curated record
GGGCACUGCUAUUCUGGCUGGUGUUUCGUUUUUCGCGCUUGGCUGGAUCAUCAAGGGAUCCAAUCCUUUACCCUCUUCCAGGACUGAUGAUUCCUCUUCUUCGCCUUCUAAUGAUGCUAAAGAAAAAGCAACCCGAUAAUUGAUGCACAAGAAUAAUGGAGAUCAGCCUCUGUAUUGGCAGGCUCUUACAACCGAGGUUCUAACUGGUUUUUAUGUACGGUUCUUACAAGUUUUGUGACUUACUUUUUGUGUUCAAGUAUCAGCCAUUGUAUCGGCAGGUUCUUACAACCAAGGUUCUUACUGGUUAUGUACAGUUCUUAUAAGUUUUGUGACUUACUUUGUGUUCAACUAACAAUGGGAUUUCCGGAUUUGUAAGCUAAUCAUGUGGACGUCGCUGGGCUCUUUCAUAAUUUGGAUCUUUGCCUACAUUUUCUCUAA